This 1025-nucleotide long non-coding RNA is filed under the name Homo sapiens (human). RNAcentral describes it as "HSALNT0401985". Lineage: Eukaryota; Metazoa; Chordata; Mammalia; Primates; Hominidae. The record is from RNAcentral.
UUCAACGGGUCCUGAACCUCCAUGAGGCCCAGUUCACUGGGCCCCCGUUAUCACAAGUCCAGGGUACCAGUUGUUCUGCCAAUUCCUGUAUUCAUCCAGUCAACAGAUAAUUCCACAGUACAGAGCAAAGUGGAGAAAAACUGCAUCGUGGCAUCUUCCCAGGAGACAAGACGGAGAACAAACAAUGCGCAACCAAGCAAAGGUCGUUUUGCGUGAUAGCAAGGGCCGUGCAGGAAACAAACAGGAUGUGGGUUUUCCUGAAACAAACUCUCAUCAUCUGAGAGAACCUGCAUGCACCUCUGCUCCCUGCACCCCAGAGGGAACCAGCAGUGUGCCCUGGGAAAAGCUGGGGCCCCACAGGUCCCAGUCUCUGAACAGGGUCUCGUAUAAAGAAGCACCGUCCAGCAACUAUUGCAGCAUUCACUGGCAUCUCGAAGACAGUAUCAACGAGUAUCUACAUCACAACCCGUAACCUCGCUCCUCAAGUUCCCUGUCCUCCCCUCCCAACCCCUGUACCCACAGCUGAUCGUGAGCCUCACACCCACCCACCUCCAGCAGUGCCAGAUUCACUCCUUACUUCCCCACUCUCUUCAUAUGGAGAGUGACAGCUUCCCUAGGUCGUAGAAGAAAACAACAUGGACCACUUGCCAGCGUCUCUUUGAACAGAGAAGCUACUGCUGUCUAAGAGCCACCAUCCCCAAUCCCAGGCACAGGGCUUGAGGGAAACUUAUUUUCUGCCCCCACCUUCCUUAAAGGUGGAACUCAUGACUGAGACCUGAGCCUAUCAGCCGGUCACGUGAUCCUGGCCCAGGGCUAUUGGCUGUGGGAAGUGGAUGCUGCCCGCCCUGUUGUCCUGUGGGAGCUUGAGGGGAUGUACAUCUGGCAUUGCUGGCAGGCAUUUUGUUCCCAUGAGGGAAGAGUCUGGGAGAGAAGCAACCUGGUGGAGAGUGGGCCUAAGACACGGAGAGAGGAUGUUGAUGCCGUGAGUUCCCAAUCCCGCCGCGCCCGUCAGACUUACCCUCAGC